AUUGAACGCUGGCGGCAUGCCUUACACAUGCAAGUCGAACGGUAACAGGUUAAGCUGACGAGUGGCGAACGGGUGAGUAAUGUAUCGGAACGUGCCCAGUCGUGGGGUAUAACUGCUCGAAAGAGCAGCUAAUACCGCAUACGACCUGAGGGUGAAAGCGGGUGAUCGCAAGACCUCGCGCGAUUGGAGCGGCCGAUAUCAGAUUAGGUAGUUGGUGAGGUAAAGGCUCACCAAGCCGACGAUCUGUAGCUGGUCUGAGAGGACGACCAGCCACACUGGGACUGAGACACGGCCCAGACGCCUACGGGAGGCAGCAGUGGGGAAUUUUGGACAAUGGGCGCAAGCCUGAUCCAGCCAUGCCGCGUGCGGGAAGAAGGCCUUCGGGUUGUAAACCGCUUUUGUCAGGGAAGAAAAGGUUCUGGCUAAUACCUGGGACUCAUGACGGUACCUGAAGAAUAAGCACCGGCUAACUACGUG
This 477-nucleotide ribosomal RNA is filed under the name uncultured bacterium. RNAcentral describes it as "partial 16S ribosomal RNA". It matches the Rfam family "Bacterial small subunit ribosomal RNA", at positions 30 to 507 of the family's 1533-position model. The record is from RNAcentral.